This 251-nucleotide ribosomal RNA is filed under the name uncultured bacterium. RNAcentral's name for it is "partial 16S ribosomal RNA". It matches the Rfam family "Bacterial small subunit ribosomal RNA", at positions 524 to 776 of the family's 1533-position model. The record is from RNAcentral.
AACGGAGGGGGCGAGCGUUAUUCAUCGUUAUUGGGCGUAAAGGGUAUGUAGGCGAUUUGUUAUGUUGUAUCAGUAAAAAACCAGCUUUAAGUAUGGUACGUGCUAGAACAUAAAAAUUAGAAAAAUUACAAAGUUGGCAGAAUUACUAAUGUAGAGGUAAAAAUUCGGAAAUAUUAGUAGGAAUACCAAAGGCGAAAGCAGCUUUCUUGUGUUUUUGACGCUGAUGUACUAAAGCAUGGGGAUCAAACAGG